AUGGCUCGUCUGUAUCUUGAUGAUUUUGAAAGUGAAAGCAAGAUUGAAGAUCUUAGCGUCCAACUUGACAACUUCCUCGAAAAUGUUCGUGAUGAUACAAGACUCUCCAAUUUAAAAGGGGUUAGUGAUCUUUGCAGAAAACUAGUUGAAACAAAGAAGUAUACUAGUUUUCCUCUAGUGUUUCUUUUGGUGAAGCUAGCAUUGAUUUUGCCAGUUGCAACGGCGACAGUUGAGAGAGCAUUUUCUGCAAUGAAAUAUAUCAAGUCUGAUUUGCGUAAUAGAAUAGGUGAUGAUUUCUUGUAUCAUUGUCUCAUUACUUAUGUUGAAAAUGAUGUAUUUCACUCUAUUAGUACUGAUGCUAUUAUGCAUACAUAUCAAAGUAUGCAUGAUCGCGGAGAGCUGCUACCAUAA
This 411-nucleotide ribosomal RNA is filed under the name Triticum aestivum (bread wheat). RNAcentral's name for it is "partial small subunit ribosomal RNA". Lineage: Eukaryota; Viridiplantae; Streptophyta; Magnoliopsida; Poales; Poaceae. The record is from RNAcentral.